RNAcentral lists this long non-coding RNA (687 nucleotides) under Eucalyptus grandis. Its description in RNAcentral is "long non-coding RNA (EGRA_LNC007600)". Lineage: Eukaryota; Viridiplantae; Streptophyta; Magnoliopsida; Myrtales; Myrtaceae. The record is from RNAcentral.
ACAAUAUGCCCAUAAAAAUGAAACCAAUUCAUUAUCUUCAAUACCAUAUGAAGAACAAAAAAACAGUAGGAGAGAAUUGCCUUAAAAUACCGGAACUUCGAGUAGCCGACUCAAAUGACAGGAUAAUAAGAUAAUUGGACGAGGAAACCAUUGAAGUUCACGAAGAAAGGCCUCCUCUAUCUAAUUCUGCCAUAUCAUUUUAAAUAUAAGGUGGAAGCGAGAAAGCAGCUUAACUCGGCCGAUGAAGAACGCGGUCCAACAAUUUUUUCAAAAAAGCUUGCAAACCUUGCGCUGGAAAGAGCUGCUGUUCGUGACCUCCUCAUCCAAGAACGGAAUCUUCAACAAGGAUGCUAUUUGAGAUACACUAACCCGCAUACUAAUACUGAGAAAAUUUAAAAAUUUCAGAGGCAAUUUACACUGUCAAAACUAAGGACAAACAGCAGAAGUCAACUCACAAUAUCAUAAGCCUUCUCUCACGCCAUGUGUUGCGCCGUCGUAACUUGAGAAUUGAGCAUCUGAAAACCCCAAAACAACAACAACGAAGUCAGAAGGAAACCCAACGAAUUCAGAGAACGCUCAGCUCAACCCAAACCAGCAACCCCCGCAAUGCCAAACCCAAACACACCGGAAAAACCAAACAAAAAGAGGAAGUCAUCAACAUCCUGGGACCUGGUCUUGCACGUUUCG